This is an RNA transcript of Mangifera indica (mango), 1805 nucleotides long. It is a transcript of the gene named protein WHAT'S THIS FACTOR 1 homolog, chloroplastic, with no coding region annotated. The record is from RefSeq and is a predicted model, not a curated record. The transcript has 2 exons. Lineage: Eukaryota; Viridiplantae; Streptophyta; Magnoliopsida; Sapindales; Anacardiaceae.
CUAUCCAAGUCUUAAUUCUUGCUAGCUUCACGCAACAAUUAGCAAGUGAAAACCGACGCCGUUUAGCCGUUUCAAGAAGUCCAAAUCGCAUCAUCUCUCUGAGAAUUAGGGCUUUAAAUGUCAGCAACUCUCUCUGUCUCUUACUUCCUCCGUUUCUCGCAGAUUCUUUGUGGUUGACUGUUCGCAUAGCAUUUCAGGUAUGCUCUUCAAAGCCAAUACUUUAUUAUUUUACCUACAAAAACUUCACACAAGCCCUGGCAUCACUCGCCAAAUCAGACCCAUUUCAAGCCUCAAAGUCGUGUGGCGAAAAGACCGGAAACUAGACCAAGCCAUAGAGAAUGACAAGCAAAACAAGCUCUGUUCCCGGGUGGUCAAGGAGGUCUUAAAUGAACCGGGUCAAGCCAUCCCGCGUCGUUACCUCGAAAAACGCCGCGAAAGAUUACACCUUAACGUCAAAAUCAAGACCUUUCUAAAUCAUUACCCGGGUCUCUUUGACACUUACUAUGAUCGGAUUAAACCCAAAACCGGCCCGGUUUUGUUUUUGCGUCCCAGUGAGAAGCUAAGAGAUUUCCUUGAAGUGGAAAGAAAAAUAUAUAAUCAACAUGAGGAGUUGAUUGUAGCUAAGUUAUGUAAAUUGUUGAUGAUGUCUAAAGAUAAAGUAAUUAGUGUUGAUAAAUUGGUUCAUGUGAAAAGAGAAUUUGGGUUUCCAAGCGAUUUUUUGGUAAAUUUAGUGCCGAAAUAUUCUAAUUAUUUCAAGUUGGUUGGGUGUCCUGGAGAAGAAAAAUCGUUCUUAGAGUUGGAAUCUUGGAAUCCCGAGUAUGCAAAAUCUGUUAUUCAGCUUAGAGCUGAAGAGGAAGCUAAAGUAACUGGGAUUCGUGUUAGACCUAACUUCAAUGUGAAAUUGCCUUCAGGGUUUUACUUGAGGAAGGAAAUGAGAGAAUGGACUAGAGAUUGGUUGGAGCUGGAUUAUAUAUCUCCUUAUGAGGAUGUAUCGAGUUUAGAACAGUCGUCAAGAGAAAUGGAGAAAAGAACCGUUGGGGUUUUUCAUGAGUUGUUGUCUCUAUCGAUUUUCAAGAGAGUUCCCGUGGCUAUAUUGGGGAAGUUUAGCGAUGACUAUAGGUUUUCCAAUGCAUUUUCAUCUGUGUUCACUAGGCACUCAGGAAUCUUUUAUAUGUCUUUGAAAGGUAACAUUAAGACUGCAGUGCUGAGGGAGGCCUAUAAGGAUAGUGAGUUGAUUGAUAGGGAUCCGUUACUUGAGAUUAAAGAUAGGUUUGUUCAGUUGUUGAAGGAAGGCAGGCAGGAGAGAGCAAAACAGUUGAGGGUGCAGAGAGAGGAGCUUAAGAAGGACAUGGAGAUGAUGGCCCUAAGAAUGAGAACAAGUAGGAAUUGUGGGUGUAAUGAGCAGAUGUGAAUCUGAAAGGUCAAAGGGAAUAAGAUGGUAAUGUCUCACAGUGUAAAACCUCAUAACAGAUUUUGAUUUGAGCGCUUCCCGUGGAGAUCAAGUAUACCGGAUGCUUGUUCAAUUUAUAGGUUCCUGCUAAGUUCUGGAUGUAUAUCGGAUAUCUUGAAGUGGAUCCCUGCCUGUGCUAUCAUUCACGGAUUGGUUUGUCUCACAUGCAGUGAUUGGGCCAAAACCUUUUCCAUGUAUGCAAACACCAUUUGGAGUCAUAUUUUUAGUAGCUGUGACAAGUGAAGCAGAUCAUUUACAUGGUUAAAAGUUGAAUCUAGGAGAGGAAAUGGCUUGGAUAGUUUGAUAACAAAUAAUAUGGUUUGAUUUCUUCAAUGAAAUUAUUAUUUUGAUUUCA